Molecule: ribosomal RNA, 403 nt
Filed under: Micrablepharus atticolus
Lineage: Eukaryota; Metazoa; Chordata; Lepidosauria; Squamata; Gymnophthalmidae
Description: partial 12S ribosomal RNA
Rfam family: Bacterial small subunit ribosomal RNA
Source: RNAcentral
AUUAGAUACCCCACUAUGCCUAGGCAUAAAACCUUAUCCGCCAGAAAAUUACGAGCAAAAGCUUAAAACUCAAAAGACUUGACGGUGUCCCACCUACCUAGAGGAGCCUGUUCCAUAAUCGAUAAUCCACGAUAAACCCGACCACCCAUUGAAAAAUCAGCCUAUAUACCGCCGUCGACAGCCAACCUUCUAAAAGAACCAGAGCCGGCCAAAUAGGAACACCCCCUAAAAAGUCAGGUCAAGGUGUAGCUAAUGGGGUGGAGACAAUGGGCUACAUUUUUUUCCAAAAAAUAUACGGACUAAUCUUUGAAAACAAGAUUAUAAAGGUGGAUUUAGCAGUAAGUCAAUAAAGAAUAAUUAACUUAACCAAGCCCUGGGACACGUACACACCGCCCGUCACCCU